Triticum aestivum (bread wheat) is the source of this 86-nucleotide non-coding RNA. The record is from Rfam. Lineage: Eukaryota; Viridiplantae; Streptophyta; Magnoliopsida; Poales; Poaceae.
GUAUUACCGGGAGUUCCCUUCAAGCACUUUACGGAGCAUCUCUCUAAGGUAUUAUGUGAAGUGCUUGGGGGAAUUCUCGGUGUGAC